UAGGGAAUCUUCGGCAAUGGACGAAAGUCUGACCGAGCAACGCCGCGUGAGUGAAGAAGGUUUUCGGAUCGUAAAACUCUGUUGUUAGAGAAGAACAAGGACGUUAGUAACUGAACGUCCCCUGACGGUAUCUAACCAGAAAGCCACGGCUAACUACGUGCCAGCAGCCGCGGUAUUACGUAGGUGGCAAGCGUUGUCCGGAUUUAUUGGGCGUAAAGCGAGCGCAGGCGGUUUCUUAAGUCUGAUGUGAAAGCCCCCGGCUCAACCGGGGAGGGUCAUUGGAAACUGGGAGACUUGAGUGCAGAAGAGGAGAGUGGAAUUCCAUGUGUAGCGGUGAAAUGCGUAGAUAUAUGGAGGAACACCAGUGGCGAAGGCGGCUCUCUGGUCUGUAACUGACGCUGAGGCUCGAAAGCGUGGGGAGCAAACAGG
RNAcentral lists this ribosomal RNA (429 nucleotides) under Gemmatimonadota bacterium. Its description in RNAcentral is "Gemmatimonadetes bacterium partial 16S ribosomal RNA". It matches the Rfam family "Bacterial small subunit ribosomal RNA", at positions 355 to 776 of the family's 1533-position model. Lineage: Bacteria; Pseudomonadati; Gemmatimonadota. The record is from RNAcentral.